RNAcentral lists this ribosomal RNA (258 nucleotides) under Pneumocystis jirovecii. RNAcentral describes it as "partial large subunit ribosomal RNA". It matches the Rfam family "Bacterial large subunit ribosomal RNA", at positions 819 to 1070 of the family's 2925-position model. The record is from RNAcentral. Lineage: Eukaryota; Fungi; Ascomycota; Pneumocystomycetes; Pneumocystales; Pneumocystaceae.
UAGUGAAAUACAAAUCGGACUAGGAUAUAGCUGGUUUUCUGCGAAAAUUGUUUUGGCAAAUUGUUUAUUCCUCUAAAAAAUAGUAGGUAUAGCGCUGAAUAUCUCGAGGGAGUAUGAAAAUAUUUAUCUCAGAUAUUUAAUCUCAAAAUAACUAUUUCUUAAAAUAAAUAAUCAGACUAUGUGCGAUAAGGUAGAUAGUCGAAAGGGAAACAGCCCAGAACAGUAAUUAAAGCUCACCAAUUAAUAUUAAGUGAAAUA